CAGGGUUCGAUUCCGGAGAAGGAGCUUGAGAAUUGGCUACUACAUCUAAGGAAGGCAGCAGGCGCGCAAAUUACCCAAUCCCGAUUCGGGGAGGUAGUGACAAAAAAUAACAAUACCGGGCCUUUUUGGGCUUGGUAAUUGGAAUGAGGGAGAGUUAAACGGACCAUCGAGUAUCCAUUGGAGGGCAAGUCUGGUGCCAGCAGCUGCAGUAAUACCAGCUCCAAUAGCGUAUAUUAAAGUUGUUGCAGUUAAAAAGCUCGUAGUUGGACUUGUGUGCGCUGUCCGCGGGUGGCCUGCGCCCAAAAGGGCGUUUCGGUUCGGCCCCGGUGGCGCCUUGAAAUCUGCAGCUGGGGGGACGUUGGCCUUAACUGGUCGGCGACCGCACGCCGGCUGCUCGGUUACUGUGAGAAAAUUAGAGUGUUCGAGGCAGGCAUUGGGUGCAAUUGAAUACAUUAGCAUGGAAUAAUAAAAUAUGGCUCCUGCCGUAUUUUGUUGGUUUUGACUGGUGGGAGUAAUGAUUGAUAGGGACGGGGGGUGCUAGUAUUGAGCGGCCAGAGGUGAAAUUCAUGGAUUCGCUCAGGACUAACUUAUGCGAAAGCAUUCACCAAGGACGUCCUCUUUAAUCAAGAACGAAAGUUGGGGGAUCGAAGACGAUCAGAUACCGUCGUAGUCUCAACCAUAAACUAUGUCGACUUGGGAUCGGCGGUAGUUUUUUCAUUAAGACACUGUCGGGACCACGGGAGAAAUCAAAGUGUCUGGACUCUGGGGGAAGUAUGGUCGCAAGGCUGAAACUUGAAGGAAUUGACGGAAGGGCACCACCAGGAGUGGAGCCCGCGGCUUAAUUUGACCCAACACGGGGAAACUUACCAGGUCCAGAGAUGUAGAGGGUUGACAGAUUGAAGCUCUUUCUUGAUCACUUCGGUGGUGGUGCAUGGCCGUUCUUAGUUGGUGGAGUGAUUUGUCUGGUUAAUUCCGUUAACGAACGAGACCUCAGCCUGCUAGUGUAGUCGGCUGGAUUGCCUUUGGCGAUCCGUGAUUUCGACUUCUUAGAGGGACAAUCGACGCGCAGUCGAUGGAAGUUUGAGGCAAUAACAGGUCUGUGAUGCCCUUAGAUGUUCUGGGCCGCACGCGCGCUACACUGCUGGGCUCAGCGAGUUUUACUUGGCCGAGAGGCCCGGUUAAUCUUGUGAAAUCCCAGCGUGCUUGGGCUCGCCUCCUGCAACUGGAGGCGCCAACGAGGAAUUCCUAGUAGACGCAGGUCAUCAACCUGCAUCGAUUACGUCCCUGCCCCUUGUACACACCGCCCAUCGUUCCAUAAGAGUGAGGCAUCCGGUGAAUUCUCGGGAGAGCCUGGGCGUGGCCAGCAAUGGUCUGCUCGGGUUUGAACUUGCAUAAACUUGGUGCCUAUGAGUAGGGAAAAGUCGUAACAAGGUU
This 1434-nucleotide ribosomal RNA is filed under the name metagenome. Its description in RNAcentral is "SSU rRNA". It matches the Rfam family "Eukaryotic small subunit ribosomal RNA", at positions 371 to 1801 of the family's 1831-position model. The record is from RNAcentral.